UACGUAGGGGGCAAGCGUUGUCCUGAAUCAUUGGGCGUAAAGAGCGUGUAGGCGGCUCGGUAAGUCCGCUCUGAAAGCCCGGGGCUCAACCCCGGGAGGCGGGCGGAUACUGUCGGGCUAGAGUCCGGAAGAGGCGAGUGGAAUUCCUGGUGUAGCGGUGAAAUGCGCAGAUAUCAGGAGGAACACCAAUGGCGAAGGCAGCUCGCUGGGACGGUACUGACGCUGAGACGCGAAAGCGUGGGGAGCAAACAGG
This 253-nucleotide ribosomal RNA is filed under the name uncultured bacterium. Its description in RNAcentral is "partial 16S ribosomal RNA". It matches the Rfam family "Bacterial small subunit ribosomal RNA", at positions 524 to 776 of the family's 1533-position model. The record is from RNAcentral.